RNAcentral lists this long non-coding RNA (579 nucleotides) under Dermacentor andersoni. Its description in RNAcentral is "uncharacterized LOC126536954". Lineage: Eukaryota; Metazoa; Arthropoda; Arachnida; Ixodida; Ixodidae. The record is from RNAcentral.
GUGCUGGAAACGCUGGGAGGCAGGAAGUUUGAAAAAACGGCAACUGCCGCCCGCAAUGUCUCGGUCGUGGGUUCGUUAUCCAGUUGUGCGUCAUUCUAAGCCGUUCUGCACAUUUAUACUGGAUAUUAACUGGAGACAUUUAGCUGUGCUGAUGCUGUUUGCCGUGUGUUUUGCAUCAGUGCUUCGUUACAUCGGCUGUAUUGCGUGUUUUCGCCGACGGCUUACUACCACAAUGGCGGGAUCUGCGUUCGCUGCCUUCGUGUCUCGGUGCGUCUUUGUACGUCGCACGUUCGGAUAACACUUUUUCCGACGGCUGGACAUCCUUCUUGUACCUUGGCGCUAGCUGGAUGACGGGACCUCAUCAUGAUCAGUGUAUUGCUUGCCUAUGUCUACAAGAACCGUCACGCGUCGCCUGUGACAGCAAGCUUUGGUGGGCAGCAAGUGCUCUCCUACGAAGGCUGGCCUACUCUGGCAGCGGCGGCAAUCAUCUUCAAGAUUUAUCCGUGAUCACCUUUGCUGCUAUUUGUCACUCUUGUUAAUUACACUUUCUGCAUCUUUUGUAAUUUAUUAGGUAAUAAA